RNAcentral lists this long non-coding RNA (235 nucleotides) under Anser brachyrhynchus (Pink-footed goose). RNAcentral describes it as "lncRNA (ENSABRG00000014204.1)". The record is from RNAcentral. Lineage: Eukaryota; Metazoa; Chordata; Aves; Anseriformes; Anatidae.
CUGGGGCCGGGGUGGGGACUCGCCUGAUCCCGCCCGCUGCCACCUCCCUUCCCCUCCCACCGCCCGCUGCGCGGAGCCCGGCAGAGCCCGGCGGGGCAGGCGGCGGAGCCGGGCAGCUCCAGGAAUUGGAAAAAAUCGGAAAGCUUUCUUUACUCUAGAUGGAAUCAGGUCAUUUUCAGUGUUACAGAUAGAGCCUGAGACCUUGAACUUCAUGCACUGCUCUGCAAGGAGCUAA